UGGUCCGACCCGGGUUCGAACCGGGGACCUUCUGCGUGUAAAGCAGACGUGAUAACCACUACACCAUCGGACC
RNAcentral lists this transfer RNA (73 nucleotides) under Opisthorchis viverrini. RNAcentral describes it as "tRNA-Val". The record is from RNAcentral. Lineage: Eukaryota; Metazoa; Platyhelminthes; Trematoda; Opisthorchiida; Opisthorchiidae.